Molecule: long non-coding RNA, 405 nt
Organism: Harpia harpyja (harpy eagle)
Lineage: Eukaryota; Metazoa; Chordata; Aves; Accipitriformes; Accipitridae
Exons: 4
Source: RefSeq, a predicted model, not a curated record
CCUGGUACAGGCUGCUGGCAGGCCGGGGUGUGAAGGUGGCUCUCGGCUGGGAUGCGGGAUGCUGUCUCGCCCGCGCCCUUCCCACUGCUAGACGGGACCGCAGCAUCGGUGCUCCGGCAGCCCGACGCGCGCCUGUUCCGUGUGACUCGCAUACGCAAUGCAGCCAUGCUUAACGAGCGUCCAUCGCUGAUUGCCAGGGACCCGGGGAGAGGAUGAGCCUGGAUGGCUCAGUGUGGGCAGGUUGGCGCGGAAGAGGCAGCGGUCCUUCCUGCACAGGACAUGGAAGCUUCUGCCUGUGAAUUUAAUACCAAAGACAAUCAAGAUCUUGGUGACAGACAGAAGCAAAGGAUAAACCAUCAGAUAAGCCCUCACCAGAAAACAGCCUUUGAAGGAGUCAAGAGCAGG